Molecule: long non-coding RNA, 158 nt
Organism: Carassius auratus (goldfish)
Lineage: Eukaryota; Metazoa; Chordata; Actinopteri; Cypriniformes; Cyprinidae
Exons: 3
Source: RefSeq, a predicted model, not a curated record
GAUUACUUGCAGUUCUUGCCCCUGGGAAGAUUUGCCAUUCAGAGACAACAGCUGGCAAGUUUGACAGAGGAAAUGCCAACUUUACAUGGAAGCAAUAGAAACAGGAGAACGUCUGGCAAACGAAAUAUCUGGAGGAAUAUUUAAACAACUUGCUAGAA